GAGAAGUGACCACCACCUCCCCAGUCUCAGCCCUGGAAAACGUUUGCAGACAGAUGCUUCAAAGCCUUUCACUCCAACCAGACACUUCAUUUGUCAUUGACAAGGGUGACACAGGAGCCCUUGUGAUCACCAGUCAGGAGGCUCUGGAGUGUGUCAGGGAUUUUUGUACUUCAGAAAAGAAUGCGCACUGCUCACAGUGCACUGUGUCACUGUUUACAUCAAGGUCGUUGGGUCCCUUGUUCUCAUCCUUUGUGACCAAAAGCAAGGCUGCACCAUCACCCAAAGGAGGACCUGCCCUUGGAGUUCCUGACUCCACAUACAAAACAGCUGACCUGAGCAGCAUGUGUGGUGGUGUGGGCCAGCUGCCAGGAGCCCUGUGA
Molecule: long non-coding RNA, 380 nt
Filed under: Mustela putorius furo (domestic ferret)
Lineage: Eukaryota; Metazoa; Chordata; Mammalia; Carnivora; Mustelidae
Description: lncRNA (ENSMPUG00000025828.1)
Source: RNAcentral